RNAcentral lists this ribosomal RNA (393 nucleotides) under Pelophylax ridibundus (marsh frog). Its description in RNAcentral is "partial large subunit ribosomal RNA". It matches the Rfam family "Bacterial large subunit ribosomal RNA", at positions 1958 to 2516 of the family's 2925-position model. Lineage: Eukaryota; Metazoa; Chordata; Amphibia; Anura; Ranidae. The record is from RNAcentral.
AGCAUAAUCACUUGUUCUUUAAAUAGGGACUCGUAUCAACGGCAUCACGAGGGCUAUACUGUCUCCUUUCUCCAAUCAGUGAAACUGAUCUUCCCGUGAAGAAGCGGGAAUCAUUAUAUAAGACGAGAAGACCCCAUGGAGCUUUAAACUCAAUAUAUAUUUCUACGCACUUAUAUCACUAUAGCCUAAGAAAAUUAUAUAUUAGUUUUAGGUUGGGGGGACCGCGGAGAAAAAAUUAACCUCCACGACAAAUAGGCCAACGCCUUUAUCUAUGAACCACAAUUCUAAGAAUCAAUAAACUGAUGUUUAAUGAUCCAAUUUUUUGAUCAACGAACCAAGUUACCCUGGGGAUAACAGCGCAAUCUACUUCAAGAGCUCCUAUCGACAAGUGGG